RNAcentral lists this transfer RNA (73 nucleotides) under Ornithorhynchus anatinus (platypus). It matches the Rfam family "tRNA". From Rfam's summary of the family: Transfer RNA (tRNA) molecules are approximately 80 nucleotides in length. Their secondary structure includes four short double-helical elements and three loops (D, anti-codon, and T loops). The record is from Rfam by way of RNAcentral. Lineage: Eukaryota; Metazoa; Chordata; Mammalia; Monotremata; Ornithorhynchidae.
AGCAGUGUGGCUUAGUGGAGAGAGUGUGGGACUGAGAGUAAGAAGGACCUGGGUUCAAAUCCCAGCUCUGCCA